RNAcentral lists this unclassified non-coding RNA (330 nucleotides) under soil metagenome. Its description in RNAcentral is "partial contains 5.8S ribosomal RNA, internal transcribed spacer 2, and large subunit ribosomal RNA". The stretch from base 1 to 120 matches the Rfam family "5.8S ribosomal RNA", at positions 35 to 154 of the family's 154-position model. The record is from RNAcentral.
GAUGAAGAACGCAGCGAAAUGCGAUAAGUAAUGUGAAUUGCAGAAUUCAGUGAAUCAUCGAAUCUUUGAACGCACAUUGCGCCCCCUGGUAUUCCGGGGGGCAUGCCUGUUCGAGCGUCAUUUCACCACUCAAGCCUCGCUUGGUAUUGGGCAACGCGGUCCGCCGCGUGCCUCAAAUCGACCGGCUGGGUCUUCUGUCCCCUAAGCGUUGUGGAAACUUUCGCUAAAGGGUGUUCGGGAGGCUACGCCGUAAAACAACCCCAUUUCUAAGGUUGACCUCGGAUCAGGUAGGGAUACCCGCUGAACUUAAGCAUAUCAAUAAGCAGAGGA